RNAcentral lists this ribosomal RNA (315 nucleotides) under uncultured bacterium. RNAcentral's name for it is "bacterial SSU rRNA". It matches the Rfam family "Bacterial small subunit ribosomal RNA", at positions 28 to 334 of the family's 1533-position model. The record is from RNAcentral.
GACGAACGCUGGCGGCGUGCUUAACACAUGCAAGUCGAACGAGAAGAGAUGAGAAGCUUGCUUCUUAUUGAUUCGAGUGGCAAACGGGUGAGUAACGCGUAAGCAACCUGCCCUUCAGAUGGGGACAACAGCUGGAAAUGACUGCUAAUACCGCAUAAGACCACAGUACCGCAUGGUGCAGGGGUAAAAACUCCGGUGGUAUGAGAUGGACCCGCGUCUGAUUAGGUAGUUGGUGGGGUAACGGCCUACCAAGCCGACGAUCAGUAGCCGACCUGAGAGGGUGACCGGCCACAUUGGGACUGAGACACGGCCCAA